GGCACAGUGCGCGUGCGCACGGCAAUUGCCGGAGGUGGGUUCCGGGGGAGGCGGUGCCGGAGGCAUCGCGGAGGAUCGCCGAGUACCCAGAACGAAACGUUGAUGGAAGAGAACUGAGAGAAUCGAUCUCAUCCGCUGGCAUUCGGUCUUCCCGCGUCUGUCCAGAUUACCUGAGCAGCGAAUGCAUUCUCAAUUUUAUUCUAUUAUAUUCUUGGUUUUAAGAGGUGCCCACUCACCCCUCAGCCAAGAUGAAUCUGGAGGUGAAGUCUUCUGGGACCAGCAAGCCGCAUUAUGGCCUGGAAUUAUCCUCUGACUUUUGACACACCCGGAGCCUUUCUGCCGGCAUGGGCAAACAGGAGGCUGAUUGUAAAGGCCUAAACUGGAGCCCACCUAUCUCCUGUCUCAGGAAAUGCUAACAGAAGGCUAGUUGUAAGGAUCCAGCCUGAAGCCCACUUCUUCCUGCCCCAUGAAAUGCAAAAAGGAGGCAAGUUGUAAACGUCCAAACUGGAGCUCGACUGUCUCCUACCUCAUUCCCAGUUUGUUCUGCUGCAUGGUCCUGCAAGGAGCACCACUGAGGCACGCCUUAAGGCUGAGGGUCAUGUGAGCUGGCUCAACACCCAGGCCACCACCGCCACCAUCGCGAGUUCUACUAGCUCCCUAGCCCCUAUUUUCAGAGACUUUACCUGACUUUGGGAGUAUAUUUUCAUUUGUAUGACUGUGAUAGAAUGUCCUUUUUUUUUUUUUUUGGAAUUCUUUAUUGGAUUUGUUACAAUAUUGCUUCUGUUUUUGUGUGUGUGUGUGUUUUUUUAAUGUUUUGACUUUUUGGCCACAAGGUAUGUGGGAUCCUAGCUCCCCACACCCCCUGCCCUGGAAGGUGAAGUCUUAACCACUGGACUGCCAGGGAGGUCCCUAAAUG
Bos taurus (domestic cattle) is the source of this 916-nucleotide long non-coding RNA. NCBI's taxonomy places the organism in Eukaryota, Metazoa, Chordata, Mammalia, Artiodactyla, Bovidae. The record is from Ensembl.